RNAcentral lists this ribosomal RNA (939 nucleotides) under uncultured bacterium. RNAcentral describes it as "bacterial SSU rRNA". It matches the Rfam family "Bacterial small subunit ribosomal RNA", at positions 46 to 1004 of the family's 1533-position model. The record is from RNAcentral.
GCUUACCAUGCAGUCGAACGAGAAACGGUCUAGCUUGCUAGAUGCAGUCUAAGUGGCGCACGGGUGAGUAAUAUAUAGGUAAUAUGCCUCUUACUAAGGGAUAACAGAUGGAAACGUCUGCUAAUACCUUAUAUGCCUUUAGGACUAAAGUCCGCAAGGGAAAGAUUUAUCGGUAAGAGAUUAGCCUGUACAGUAUCAGUUAGUUGGUGAGGUAAUGGCUCACCAAGACUAUGACACUUAACUGGUUUGAGAGGAUGAUCAGUCACACUGGAACUGAGACACGGUCCAGACUCCUACGGGAGGCAGCAGUGGGGAAUAUUGCACAAUGGACGGAAGUCUGAUGCAGCAACGCCGCGUGGAGGAUGACACAUUUCGGUGCGUAAACUCCUUUUAUAUGAGAAGAUAAUGACGGUAUCAUAUGAAUAAGCACCGGCUAACUCCGUGCCAGCAGCCGCGGUAAUACGGAGGGUGCAAGCGUUACUCGGAAUCACUGGGCGUAAAGAGCGUGUAGGCGGGUUGAUAAGUUUGAAGUGAAAUCCUAUAGCUUAACUAUAGAACUGCUUUGAAAACUGUUAACCUAGAAUAUGGGAGAGGUAGAUGGAAUUUCUGGUGUAGGGGUAAAAUCCGUAGAGAUCAGAAGGAAUACCGAUUGCGAAGGCGAUCUACUGGAACAUUAUUGACGCUGAGACGCGAAAGCGUGGGUAGCAAACAGGAUUAGAUACCCUGGUAGUCCACGCCCUAAACGAUGUACACUAGUUGUUGUGAGGCUCGACCUUGCAGUAAUGCAGUUAACACAUUAAGUGUACCGCCUGGGGAGUACGGUCGCAAGAUUAAAACUCAAAGGAAUAGACGGGGACCCGCACAAGCGGUGGAGCAUGUGGGUUUAAUUCGACGAUACACGAAGAACCUUACCUGACUUGACAUAGUAGACUUUCUAGA